GCCUACGGGGCGCAGCAGUGGGGAAUAUUGCACAAUGGGGGAAACCCUGAUGCAGCGACGCCGCGUGAGUGAGGAAGUAUUUCGGUAUGUAAAGCUCUAUCAGCAGGGAAGAAAAUGACGGUACCUGACUAAGAAGCCCCGGCUAACUACGUGCCAGCAGCCGCGGUAAUACGUAGGGGGCAAGCGUUAUCCGGAUUUACUGGGUGUAAAGGGAGCGUAGACGGCGAAGAAGGUCUGAAGUGAAAGCCCGCGGCUCAACCGCGGAACUGCUUUGGAAACUUUUUUGCUGGAGUACCGGAGAGGUA
This 305-nucleotide ribosomal RNA is filed under the name uncultured bacterium. RNAcentral's name for it is "bacterial SSU rRNA". It matches the Rfam family "Bacterial small subunit ribosomal RNA", at positions 337 to 659 of the family's 1533-position model. The record is from RNAcentral.